GGCGAGAUGGCCGAGCGGUCUAAGGCGCUGGUUUAAGGCACCAUCCCUUCGGAGGCUUGGGUUCGAAUCCCACUCUCGUCA
Transfer RNA from Toxocara canis (dog roundworm), 81 nucleotides. It matches the Rfam family "tRNA". Rfam says of the family: Transfer RNA (tRNA) molecules are approximately 80 nucleotides in length. Their secondary structure includes four short double-helical elements and three loops (D, anti-codon, and T loops). NCBI's taxonomy places the organism in Eukaryota, Metazoa, Nematoda, Chromadorea, Rhabditida, Toxocaridae. The record is from Rfam.